Molecule: transfer RNA, 57 nt
Filed under: Camelus bactrianus (Bactrian camel)
Lineage: Eukaryota; Metazoa; Chordata; Mammalia; Artiodactyla; Camelidae
Also listed under: 3 other names
Rfam family: tRNA
About the family: Transfer RNA (tRNA) molecules are approximately 80 nucleotides in length. Their secondary structure includes four short double-helical elements and three loops (D, anti-codon, and T loops).
Source: Rfam by way of RNAcentral
UAGCUCAGUGGUAAAGCAUAUGCUUAGCAUGCAUGAGGUCCUGGGUUCAAUCCUCAG